AAAUACACUGGGGGAAGGGGGUGGAUCCAGUGGUGCGCCGGGAAUGAACUGACCCAAGUGAGCUGGGACAUGUGCAUACAGAGAGCAGAGGCAGAAGUCAAGGAACUGGAGGCUGAGGAACCCAGCGGACCACGAAAGCAGGGAGAUAACUAGACAGCAUGCUCGGCUGGAAGGACCAAAGUCAGAGAAGGAAAAAUGAAUAAGAAAAUGAGCAGUCAGAGGCAGCUAGGGUGACGGACAGACAGCAUGAAGCGCAGCAGAAUGAAGAGCCAGAAGACUCGGACAGGCAGAGCCGAAGGACCGCAGAGCUCAGCGCCGGAGACAUGAAAACUGAGGCCCAGACCAGCUAAGCAUUUUGAUCACGGUCACCCAGAGCCACAGUGGAGACCAGGAGAAAACUGAUUCCCAGGCCAGUGCUCUUUUGCUUCUACUCGGUCAGAGGUGUGAGGUCCUUC
RNAcentral lists this non-coding RNA (455 nucleotides) under Pan troglodytes (chimpanzee). Lineage: Eukaryota; Metazoa; Chordata; Mammalia; Primates; Hominidae. The record is from RNAcentral.